This 710-nucleotide ribosomal RNA is filed under the name uncultured bacterium. RNAcentral's name for it is "bacterial SSU rRNA". It matches the Rfam family "Bacterial small subunit ribosomal RNA", at positions 8 to 700 of the family's 1533-position model. The record is from RNAcentral.
AGGGUUUGAUCAUGGCUCAGGACGAACGCUGGCGGCGUGCUUAACACAUGCAAGUCAAGGAGAACGGAUCCUUCGGGAUACUAUUAAACUGGCGAACGGGUGAGUAACGCGUAGGCAACCUGCCUUGGAGAUUGGGAUAACCCCGGGAAACCGGAGCUAAUACCAAAUAAUGCAGCGGAUCCUUCGGGAUAUGUUGUUAAAGUGGGCUUCGGCUCACACUUCAAGAUGGGCCUGCGUCCGAUUAGCUUGUUGGUGAGGUAAUGGCUCACCAAGGCGAUGAUCGGUAGCUGGUCUGAGAGGAUGAUCAGCCACACUGGGAUUGAGAUACGGCCCAGACUCCUACGGGAGGCAGCAGUGGGGAAUUUUGCGCAAUGGACGAAAGUCUGACGCAGCAACGCCGCGUGAUCGAUGAAGCUUCUAGGAGUGUAAAGAUCUGUCGUGAGGGAAGAAAAAUCUGGAUGUAAAUAAUGUUCAGACGUGACGGUACCUCACAAGAAAGGCACCGGCUAACUUCGUGCCAGCAGCCGCGGUAAUACGAGGGGUGCUAGCGUUGUCCGGAAUUACUGGGCGUAAAGGGUUCGUAGGCGUCUUGCCAAGUUGAUCGUUAAAGCCACCGGCUUAACCGGUGAUCUGCGAUCAAAACUGGCGAGAUAGAAUAUGUGAGGGGAAUGUGGAAUUCCUGGUGUAGCGGUGACAUGCGUAGAUAUCAG